RNAcentral lists this small nucleolar RNA (105 nucleotides) under Oryza longistaminata (longstamen rice). RNAcentral's name for it is "snoRNA SNORD14". Lineage: Eukaryota; Viridiplantae; Streptophyta; Magnoliopsida; Poales; Poaceae. The record is from RNAcentral.
UGCCUUGUGAUGCUAAAAUCAAGGCUUGUUUCUCAUGACAUUCGCAGUUGCCGCCUAAGAGCUUUCGCCCUGCCAGGCUUGAGGGUUAGUGCCACUGCUGCAGCA